Long non-coding RNA from Numida meleagris (helmeted guineafowl), 3883 nucleotides. RefSeq lists it as uncharacterized. Lineage: Eukaryota; Metazoa; Chordata; Aves; Galliformes; Numididae. The record is from RefSeq and is a predicted model, not a curated record. The transcript is spliced from 4 exons.
ACCCUAUCUUGGUACUAGAGGCAAGUCUGGGUGUCUCACCUGGGAUGCUGGGGUCCAAUUAAAUCUUCGUAGAAGUAAACAGGCAAUGAAAUCACUGCACAAGCAACUGUGGGAGCGUUACUGUUCCCUUAAAAGCAUAGCUGCAAGAGAAGACUUAAAGCAGAUUUGGGUUAAUCAAGUGAAGCUAUGCCAGUCUCAUGCUUGACAUAUGCAUGCACUCAGGCAUGACUCACCCUUCAAACAAUGAUUCAUCAUUAGUUUUUCUUAUUUUGUGUGUCUUUUGUCCAUCCUUGUUACAGUCUCUUGCCACUGUCUCACAAGUGCAGUGAUGGUUAAAACAACAUUAAAAUUAGACUUUUAAUUGGGUCUUCACUGCAGCACAUGCGGUGAGGGCAGAGAGGCUGCGUGCCUGUUGCUCUGAUGAGAAAGGGGGAAGUGAGCUGCAGCUGAUGGCUUUAAAUUGGGUAAAGGGAGAAGGAAAGGGGCCAGGUCAGCUGUGAGAGAGUUCAUUCUGGAAGGGCAACGUUGUCAAGCAAUGUGAUACUAUGUUCUGUUACUACAUAAGGAGCUGCAGCAGUCUGGUAGGCCUUGCAGCAUAGUGUUUUAACAAUUUGUUCUUUGAGAACUGAAAUGUGACCAGAAGAUUGAGGAUCUCUGCAUGGAAAGAAAGUCUCUUCUCAUUUCAAGCAUCCAGCAUCAAAAGGGACUGAAGAGCAGGAGGGGCAGAAGACUGAAGGAGGACAUGAGAAGAGAGGCAGACGAGGAGGAUUCUCACAGGCGCUGUCAGAAGGCCCUCAGACCCUGUGCUGCCCAGCCUAGGAGAGCCAACACAUCCCCACUGGGGCUGCCCACAUCUGUGCUCCUCUUCCUGUGUCUGUAUCCAGUCCCAAGGCAGGCUGGAGGGCAGAGGGUGCUCCAGCCAACACCGAGACGAGAGAGCAGAAGGAUGGGUCAGAAAGCUGAAGGAGAGAAGCCAGGUUCUUCAGAGUCCUCUUGACUUACAGGAUCAAUAUUUGUAUAAUAUUCAUGUCAAAGGACUAAAUAUUUGUUAUGGGACUAAAUAUUUCAGUGCUGCUCUAGUGACUACGCCAGCCUUCAGCGCCCGGGGCUGCUGGUAAUGAGCUGGAGUCACACACCAUGCUGAAUUAUUAUUGCUAACACGUAUGGAUGCAGCCUCGUACCUGAUGAAUGACACCUGCUGUGAAAACUGAGUGAUGCUAUUUUAAGAAGGUAUUUAUCUGGUAUUUGGAGGGGAGCUUCAGACAUAUGCAAUUCAGAUGCAUUUCUUUAGAUAGGAUAGCAGUCCUUGCAUUAUCAUAUUCAAUGAAAGUGUGCCUACAAGUACGUCUUCUGUACAUGCCGCAUGUGUGCAAAAUGUGUAUCCUAGAUACCUAAUGGCAGAUCCAAGCUGUAAAUAAACUGAUAAGUCAAAUGUGCUUUACUGAGCCCAGAUCACCAAAAAUUGGUAGGAGCUGGGUAUGGAAAAGAGAGCAAGAUUGGAUCAACCAUAGUAAAGUCAAGCAUUAUUAUUUCCCUUUUGGAGAUUAAAGCAAUAUUACAGAUUUAAAACUGGAUGACAUUUUGAGAACUGUUUGAAAAAUCAUGUUACAGAUUUACCAAGGCACUUUCAGCUUAAAACUGCCUUCUGGAACAGUUCUUAGUGUUUCUUUUGAAAUCUGCAGGUACUUUCUCCCUUUCCCUUCCCCCUUCUUCUACUGCUGUUGCUCUUUCUAAUUGUGUUCCACUGGAAAAAACAAAAUGAACGGAUGAAAUAUUUAAGGACAAUAUUUACAACAGAAGUUAUUUAUUUUAUCUUUUUUUUUUUUUACUUUUCCUGACUUGCAGGUUAAAGUGGGAAUUUACUGUAGGCACCACUGUGUUUGCACAUCUGUCUUGCUUGAUUGCUAUUGAUGCAGGCAUUACCUGGCCAAUAUUUAGAGUAAGCUUGAAGUGGGAUAAUGCAGAUGUCUUUUGUGAUUUCUCAUGAGACACCACUUUGUUUCAUGGUAGUGUCACUUGCGCAUUCUAAAGAAACCACUGAAAAAGAAAAUUCCUCUCUUUCUCCCAUGAAAAACAAUCGAAGUUUCCAAACAGGUUUGGCUUGUCCCAGGGUUUUGUGGUGGGCACGUGCAUUGCUGUCACUGGGUAUGUGACUAGGGCAGUGUCCUGCUCCAGGCUGGGUCCUCAGACCUACGGCAUGCAAUGGGCACUACUGGGACUGCAAAAUGGCAGGACCAUGAACUAAAGCUAAAGCAAAGUCAAAGACUAGGCUGUUUCCUAAACUUCCCUUCCUUCUGGUUGAAUUCAUGGUGUCCUGUGUCCUGCUGUGGCUAGAAAGCAGUGCUUUCCCAGGCAGGUGCCUGGCUCCUAGGCUUGCUCCUGGGAUCAAAGCCAUAACAGCCAGGUCUGGGUAAAGCAGGUGAGCUCGUCUAUUCCUCUGUCACCAACCACACCAGAGUCACUCAGCCUGUGUAAAGUAAACGUGCUGGGACAGAAGGGAGGCACUUGUGCUAUGCAAGAGCAGCACACUGUUUUUUUACUACCUGGAGCUGCCUGUCUGCUCACAAGAGCAGGCAGAGUCCCUGUGCCUGCAUUGAGGUCUAUAGCUGCAUGCUUAGACCAUCUGCCUAAGCCCAAGGUGACUGCAUCCCAACCAGGACACAUUCAAGUCAAGGUUGGAUGGGGAUCUGGGCAGCCUGAUCUGGUUGUUGAUAACUAAUGCUCUGCACAAUUAAGCAUUUUAAUUGCGUAUAUGAGAUGUUGAACCUGGAGCUGUUUCCAGACCAGGUCAUGCUUUGAAAAACUGUAAGGAAGAUGAGUGCUUCAGGAAGGCAUUUUGUUUGAAAAGACUCAUUUCCCCAUCCCACUCAAUGCUUAUUGGAUAAUAUAGCAUGUCCUAAAAGAAAGGGUUCAAUGAAAAGCUGUGUUUCCCUGACAGACUGAACACAUGCACGGCGCUAGCAGUCAUGCGGGAACCCAGAGGUUGAGAUCCUGCAUUUUUCUUCAGACACAAUAAAGAAUCUACUCUAAAGUAAAUAGAGUUCUCUGUAAUUUAUGCUACAUUUAUUGGUACUAAUUUCUCAUGCUCAUCUAUCAAUUUCCAAUUUCCUCUCAGUAAUCUGAAUUCAAUUUUCCGUUCAUAUUCCUGUUGAUGGUUGAAAUUCUCUCUCGUAAGUCCUGCUCAGCAGAUCUAUUGAAUACUUAAGAAGUAUUUACUGUAGAAUUAAUCUGAAAUUCUCCUAGUUAAUUUCCCCGGAUUGUGUCAAGCAAUGUGCGAACAGAGAAACAAUAGAAAUAGAUUAUCUUCCUCCUUAUUUUAUGACUGAACAGCACACUUAACUACCAAAAUGACCUAAAAUAAGUAGACUUCUCUCAGCAUAUUACAAAAGCCAUGUACACCCUCUAUCUAGAACUGCAAGUUAAUGACCAUUAGAGUUCUGUAUUUAGUUAUGGCUGUAUUAAAAACUGCUGUUAAACAUGACAUCCUGUGAUGACUGGAAUACUUGUUAGAUCUUUAAUUUUAUGUGAAAUGUAUAGACGAGAUUCAUCUAAGCUAGGGGUUGGCAAUAUCCAUUUACAAAUAUUUCUAUUUUAAAAUGCAUAUGUUUCAUUCCUGAGGAUGAAAACUGAAGAUGCCACUAGUAAUGCAUUUGGCUUGAGGGUAUUUUGUGAAUGGGUAAGGAUUUCAUACCUUGGAUAUCAUGUAAUUAAAACAAAUGGAAAAAAAAUAUUCUGGUCAUCCUACAUCUCAUUGUUUCACAGGAACUGACAAAUUUCUGUACUAAGAAUGUAUGACCAAAUCAAAGGACUCCAUUGGGGGAAAAUCUAUUAUUAGAUCUCGGAAAAUCUUUUUUUUUCCCAAGAUAUUUUAUAUUCAAUAGGG